This 239-nucleotide long non-coding RNA is filed under the name Mytilus galloprovincialis (Mediterranean mussel). The record is from RNAcentral. Lineage: Eukaryota; Metazoa; Mollusca; Bivalvia; Mytilida; Mytilidae.
AUAAUACAGUCUGACUGUUUAGAUCUAGGUAUUGUUUAUACUUUUUAUAUAAAUUUAACUUUGAUUUAUAAUUUUUUUGGAGCAAAUGCUUCUGUUUUCUUUGUAAUUGUUUCAAUGCCAUACAUUAAUAAGCAACCAAUUUGAAUGUCAUUAUAUCAUUUGUGGUGUUCUAAAGAAUUUGUUUAUAUAUUUGCAGAUUAAAUAAUAAAAUAAACACUUUUCGUGUUAUUUUAAAUAAG